RNAcentral lists this ribosomal RNA (175 nucleotides) under uncultured bacterium. Its description in RNAcentral is "partial 16S ribosomal RNA". It matches the Rfam family "Bacterial small subunit ribosomal RNA", at positions 1316 to 1500 of the family's 1533-position model. The record is from RNAcentral.
CUACAUGAAGCUGGAAUCGCUAGUAAUCGCAGAUCAGAAUGCUGCGGUGAAUACGUUCCCGGGUCUUGUACACACCGCCCGUCACACCAUGGAAGUUGGGGGCGCCCGAAGUUGCCUAAGAAAUAAGGUACCUAAGGCGAAACCAAUGACUGGGGUGAAGUCGUAACAAGGUAUC